Molecule: unclassified non-coding RNA, 328 nt
Filed under: soil metagenome
Description: partial contains 5.8S ribosomal RNA, internal transcribed spacer 2, and large subunit ribosomal RNA
Rfam family: 5.8S ribosomal RNA (bases 1-120)
Source: RNAcentral
GAUGAAGAACGCAGCGAAAUGCGAUAAGUAAUGUGAAUUGCAGAAUUCAGUGAAUCAUCGAAUCUUUGAACGCACAUUGCGCCCUCUGGUAUUCCGGGGGGCAUGCCUGUUCGAGCGUCAUUAUAACCACUCAAGCUCUCGCUUGGUAUUGGGGUUCGCGGUUCCGCGGCCCCUAAAAUCAGUGGCGGUGCCUGUCGGCUCUACGCGUAGUAAUACUCCUCGCGAUUGAGUCCGGUAGGUCUACUUGCCAGCAACCCCCAAUUUUUACAGGUUGACCUCCGAUCAGGUAGGGAUACCCGCUGAACUUAAGCAUAUCAAUAGCGGAGGA